Molecule: ribosomal RNA, 252 nt
Filed under: uncultured bacterium
Lineage: Bacteria
Description: partial 16S ribosomal RNA
Rfam family: Bacterial small subunit ribosomal RNA
Source: RNAcentral
UACGUAGGGUGCGAGCGUUAAUCGGAAUUACUGGGCGUAAAGCGUGCGCAGGCGGCUUUGCAAGACAGAUGUGAAAUCCCCGGGCUCAACCUGGGAACUGCAUUUGUGACUGCAAGGCUAGAGUACGGCAGAGGGGGAUGGAAUUCCGCGUGUAGCAGUGAAAUGCGUAGAUAUGCGGAGGAACACCAAUGGCGAAGGCAAUCCCCUGGGCCUGUACUGACGCUCAUGCACGAAAGCGUGGGGAGCAACAGG